ACGCUGGCGGCGUGCUUAACACAUGCAAGUCGAGCGGUAAGGCCUUUCGGGGUACACGAGCGGCGAACGGGUGAGUAACACGUGGGUGAUCUGCCCUGCACUUCGGGAUAAGCCUGGGAAACUGGGUCUAAUACCGGAUAUGACCUCAGGUUGCAUGACUUGGGGUGGAAAGACUUAUCGGUGCAGGAUGGGCCCGCGGCCUAUCAGCUUGUUGGUGGGGUAAUGGCCUACCAAGGCGACGACGGGUAGCCGACCUGAGAGGGUGACCGGCCACACUGGGACUGAGACACGGCCCAGACUCCUACGGGAGGCAGCAGUGGGGGAUAUUGCACAAUGGGCGAAAGCCUGAUGCAGCGACGCCGCGUGAGGGAUGACGGCCUUCGGGUUGUAAACCUCUUUCAGCAGGGACGAAGCGCAAGUGACGGUACCUGCAGAAGAAGCACCGGCUAACUACGUGCCAGCAGCCGCGGUAAUACGUAGGGUGCAAGCGUUGUCCGGAAUUACUGGGCGUAAAGAGUUCGUAGGCGGUUUGUCGCGUCGUUUGUGAAAACCAGCAGCUCAACUGCUGGCUUGCAGGCGAUACGGGCAGACUUGAGCACUGCAGGGGAGACUGGAAUUCCUGGUGUAGCGGUGAAAUGCGCAGAUAUCAGGAGGAACACCGGUGGCGAAGGCGGGUCUCUGGGCAGUAACUGACGCUGAGGAACGAAAGCGUGGGUAGCGAAC
Molecule: ribosomal RNA, 723 nt
Filed under: uncultured bacterium
Lineage: Bacteria
Description: bacterial SSU rRNA
Rfam family: Bacterial small subunit ribosomal RNA
Source: RNAcentral